UCCCAGUUUUUCAUUCAUUUUUACGAAACAUGACCGCCGUCUUCGUUUCUUCCUGCUCUGUUCGUGCUGUUCUCUCCCAAAUUACCACCUUCAAUUGGCCAUCAACCGUUCAAUUAGCCGUGAGCCCGCUAAUAUACUUGCUUGAAUGUUGCUCCAAUUGAAUUCCAAAAUCCCGUGCUCUCCCUCCAUUUUAUCUCCCUUUUUUCCCAAAUCCAAUUUGGCUUUCUCAACUCUAGUCGUUGUUGUCCAUCUGUCCGUGUCUCCGCCACCGUGUGUCCGCCUGAGUGCCGCUGGCUCAUAUGACUUGAAGCCUCAAGCUGGUACAAAGAAGUGAAUCCAUCAAAGAGAACGACAAUCACGGGUGAUACAAUAAUAUUAGCUGGAUCAAUUCUUAAGAGAGAUGAAAGAGUUCCUGACUCAACCCACUCUCCAUCCAUGGACAGCUUCGAAUAUAUAUUCCUGUUUAUGGUUGCUUUAGUCAUUGUUAGUUUCUUCAUGGUGCAGUUAUAAUGAUUAUCGAAGGAGUAUUUUUACAUGUUCUUUUUCUUUAUGAUCAAUAAAUUAUUAGAUGAUUUGAUACAUAUAAUUCAGUACUUUUGUUCUUUUGACGCAUUAUUAUAAUGUUUUUCCGGCCUUCUUGUUGAUUUUA
This is a long non-coding RNA of Olea europaea var. sylvestris, 649 nucleotides long. RefSeq lists it as uncharacterized. The record is from RefSeq and is a predicted model, not a curated record. The transcript is spliced from 3 exons. NCBI's taxonomy places the organism in Eukaryota, Viridiplantae, Streptophyta, Magnoliopsida, Lamiales, Oleaceae.